AGUGAACGCUGGCGGUAGGCCUAACACAUGCAAGUCGAACGGCAGCACAGUAAGUGCUUGCUAUUACGGGUGGCGAGUGGCGGAUGGGUGAGGAAUAACUCGGAAUCUACUUUUUCGUGGGGGCUCACGUAGGGAAACAUACGCUAAUACCGCAUACGACCUACGGGUGAAAGCAGGGGAUUAUCGAACCUUGAGAGAUUGAAAUAGCCGAUGUCGGAUUAGUUAGUUGGCAGGGUAGAGGCACACCAAGGCGACGAACCGUAGCUGAGCUGAGAGGAUGAUCAGCCACACUGGAACGGAGACACGGUCCAGGCUCCUACGGGAGGCAGCAGUGGGGAAUAUUGGACAAGGGGCGCAAGCCUGAUCCAGCCAUACCGCGUGGGUUAAGGAGGCCUUCGGGUUGUAAAUCCCUUUUGUUGGGAUAGAAAAGCAGCAGGUUAAUACCCCGCUGUUCUGACGGUACCCAAAGAAUAAGCACCGGCUAACUUCGUG
Molecule: ribosomal RNA, 492 nt
Filed under: uncultured bacterium
Lineage: Bacteria
Description: partial 16S ribosomal RNA
Rfam family: Bacterial small subunit ribosomal RNA
Source: RNAcentral